Molecule: long non-coding RNA, 682 nt
Organism: Leptinotarsa decemlineata (Colorado potato beetle)
Lineage: Eukaryota; Metazoa; Arthropoda; Insecta; Coleoptera; Chrysomelidae
Source: RefSeq, a predicted model, not a curated record
GCGGACCGUUGAAUUCUCUAAUAAUCGAGCAAUUUUCAAGAAGCGAAUUUGAAACGAUCCUGAAACGCCAUCUUUGAGCCGAAUUUCACACCGAUCAUUGCGGCCAACCUUGAUGUCAUGAUCGGGCCGAUAUCGGACAGAGGCCCAGACGGUGCCAAACUGGUUUCAGAUUCAAUUUGACUUGACCGAAGAAGAAUCCAACACAUCCGGCCAAUGAAUGCUGUCCACCUAAUCCAAAUAAGCCACCGUCUCUCAUCCGACGAAAACGAGGAAGCCGCCGGCACCAGGAAGGGGAAAAUAAAGGAUUCUCAAAGGAUAAUUCAGAUUGUCCAGACUCCAAGGACUAGGGCAUGUCGCCUCUCUAUCGCGCACCAUUCACAAGUGCGCGGGAAAACAGGGCGUGAGAGAGGAUCGAUCGAGCAUCAGGGGUGGAUUCCCCCACCCUCUAUCAUCCCUCUGCCGACUUGUCUCAACCUCAGCUUGCUGUCACAAGGCUCGCCAUCGUCCUCUGUCAACAGGAUGCGCGUUGUUGAAAGUGUCGUCUUUGUGUUCUUUCGAUAGACAAGCGCUGCUGUCACUAGAUGCGCAUUUCUCCACAUGAAAUUUUGGAUGGGCAGUUCCAAAAAGAGGAGGUCUUUAGUUGCAGAGGAAAAGAUCUUGAGAAUUCGCAGACACUUCCUUC